CUUCCGCGCGGGGACGGGACCGGGGCGCGGGGGGCACCCGGAGUGGGGCGGGGACUCACCCUUUAGCUGCUCGGGUCCUUGACCGCUUCGCACAGGUGGGCACCAAUCUUACUGACAUCGUGGCACAGAGAAAGAUCACCAUCCGGGAGCUUGGGGGGUGCAUGGGCCCCAUCUGGUCCAGUUACUAUGGAAACUGCCGUUCUCUCCUGGUGGGUUGUAAUCCUAUAUGGGCUUCCUUUAGGGAAGUGUGUCUACAUUUCUGUGACGUCCAGUCCCCAACCUUGCUGUGUGUAGAAAGGGGUUUGGGUUAUUUAGUGACUAUACUACUCAUGGAAAUAGGUCUUAGCUAGUGUUGCUUCCUGCUGGGCACCCUGUCUGGUUUCUGGUGCUUGCGCUCCCAGGCCCCCGGUAGGAGCUCACAGAGGGCUUGCUGAGGGCAGGGCUGCUGCUCCGCAGAGAACAGACUUGGCCCUCUGUGUCACUCCCCGGUACGUCUGUGUUUAUGUUGGACUUAUACGUACCUCUGGUUGGUCUCAU
This 537-nucleotide long non-coding RNA is filed under the name Homo sapiens (human). RNAcentral's name for it is "non-protein coding lnc-OXLD1-3:4". Lineage: Eukaryota; Metazoa; Chordata; Mammalia; Primates; Hominidae. The record is from RNAcentral.